GACGAACGCUGGCGGCGUGCUUCAUACAUGCAAGUCGAACGAGAAGUCGCCUUCGGGUGAUGGAAAGUGGCGGACGGGUGAGUAAUAUGUAGGAAAUCUGCCCUUAAGAGGGGGACAACAGAGGGAAACUUCUGCUAAUACCCCAUAUGAGCGUAGCUGAAAUGCUAUUCUUGAAAACUCCGGUGCUUAAGGAUGAGCCUGCAUCUGAUUAGCUAGUUGGGGGUGUAAUGGACCACCAAGGCGACGAUCAGUAGCUGGUUUGAGAGGAUGAUCAGCCACAAUGGGACUGAGACACGGCCCAUACUCCUACGGGAGGCAGCAGUAGGGAAUUUUGCGCAAUGGGCGAAAGCCUGACGCAGCAACGCCGCGUGAUUGAAGAAGCCCUUCGGGGUGUAAAGAUCUGUCAGUGGGGACGAAACUUGACGGUACCCACAGAGGAAGCAUCGGCUAACUCCGUG
Molecule: ribosomal RNA, 458 nt
Filed under: uncultured bacterium
Lineage: Bacteria
Description: bacterial SSU rRNA
Rfam family: Bacterial small subunit ribosomal RNA
Source: RNAcentral